RNAcentral lists this long non-coding RNA (1999 nucleotides) under Musa acuminata (dwarf banana). Its description in RNAcentral is "long non-coding RNA (MACU_LNC002172)". The record is from RNAcentral. Lineage: Eukaryota; Viridiplantae; Streptophyta; Magnoliopsida; Zingiberales; Musaceae.
AAACGACUCUAACCAAAAGGUUCGCUCGACACCUGAUCAUAUGUCAAACAAUCAAAUUCUGCUUUUAACAUAUUGUAAUGCAAGUUAUGGAGGGUUCGCCACAAUGAGAUGUAAUGACUCUCACGGUUCAUAUACUUCUACGUGUUCUUUGAAUCAUAGCUUCCUCGAAAUCGGAACCUGCAGUUUUGGAUCAGAAGGAUGUCGUCCGCUACUGCCGCUUUAUUCUUCUCGUAUUCCUCCUCGUUUGCUCAGGCCGUGCCCUUUGUAUCGUCUCCUUCGACUCAUCGAGUAGCCGCAUGUAAGAGUGUGAGAUAGAUAUAAUGCUCCAUGGGCUCAAUUGCAGGGAUGACUCUCUGUGCCAGCAGGUGGAAUGUUAAUGGUCUCUGCAUCGAAACCCAGCCCAAUUUGUCUUUAAUGCUAAUCAUAGGAUUCAAGAACUAGCAUCUGAAUUGAAAUCGAUUGAUGUGGUUUAUAGAUAAUUAAGUGAAUUAAGUAAUAGAGAAUAAUAAACUAUAAGAACACUUCUUCCAGGACCAUAACUUGUAAGGAAAAUUCAAAGACUAGUUCUAAUCAUCAGAUUGUCGAACUCAUUUUACAUCUCAAGCAUCUCACUUUCAUCACAUUGCUUUGUUUAAUGGACAAUUUUCCACGAGAAUCUCAUGCAUUUGGGACCAUCUUACCAUUCGCAUAGAUGAUUAUUUUUGCUCCUUUUGUUGAAAAAGGAAACAAAAAAACAAAGACCAGAGAAGAUAUUACAUCUUUAGUUGGUUGUCAAGAUUUCUACAUCAACAGGUGGCCUACUAUUCCACACAACAUGCCAUUGGUAGAUGCUCCUUCCUUUUCCAAUGAUGAAGAUAGCCAAUAGUGGUUGGUUUCCCCACUAUCAUUCACACUAAUACAUAAUACUGGCUUAAGAUCUUGUACUAAAAUCACUGUAUCAUUGAGACAUUGUACUAAAAUCAUUGUAUCAUGAACUCUUGAUAAGUAAUUGAAUAGGGUGGAAAAUCCUCCCUAUUCAUUUUUGGGCAAUUUCUAUAAAAAUAAAAUUUCUCUUUUAAACUUUUUUGAAAGAUAAAUAAUUUUUUUUAUUUUUUUAUUUAGUACUUUUAUUUUUUAUAAGACCCAUUAUCUUCAUCUAUCACUCAAGGAGGGAUACGACAAUGUGUCGAGGACUGAAAAGAGUGCAAGAGUGUUGAGAUCUCAUGAUGGGACGAAAGCAACGAGCAACAAUAAAAGAUAUUAUGGGUAUUAUAAAAAAAUAGGAGCAGAGAGUAGAAAAGGUUAAAACAGAGGCACCAUCCAAAAAAAAGUUUAAACAUAUUAAAAUCAAAUCAAUAUUGAAGAUUUAUCAUAUAUUCUCAAUCAAAAUCUAUCAGUAAUUUUUUUAGAUGAAAAAAAUUAAAGAAAAAUAUGAAAACUUAAAGAAGAAUUAGAAAAAAAAAACUUGUGCCCCAAAAGAUUAAUCAAAUUAAUUUUUUUCUUAGCUUCGUACAAGUAAAACUAAUAAAUACAAUUGAUUUUCAGCUCAUGUAACCCUGGAAUAAUGAUUAGUUAGUUCAGACCACAUCAACAUUGGAAGUUAAAGAGGAGGAAGUUUAUUAAUGCUUCAACAUUUAAAAAUUUAGGAAGACCAUAUAUUUAUAUAUAUAUGUAAGCUAGUAGUAUAUUUGGAGAGAAUAGGCUUUCCUAUAUGAUUACCUUUAAGUGCGCCACAAAGUUAUCUCCCAUUAACUAAAUCAUGAGGAGCAUUUAGAGCAAGCUUUGAGAUGGCACGCCUGCAACCGAUGGACCAAAGAAUGACCACUACUUACAUACGUGGAGCAUCCAAUAUCGGUUGAUGAUUGUUACACCUUUCGAGGGACACUAAAUAGCUGCCUGUGAUCAUGUCUAAUCCCGCAAAGCUAUUGUUACUUUAUCUUCUGGUCCAAUUCCCAAGUCCGACAAGAUUACUUUGACUCACAUCGUUGAUGAACUGAGUCGAGGAUCUAUUCACCAUUCA